RNAcentral lists this transfer RNA (69 nucleotides) under Marmota monax (woodchuck). RNAcentral's name for it is "tRNA.Thr". It matches the Rfam family "tRNA". From Rfam's summary of the family: Transfer RNA (tRNA) molecules are approximately 80 nucleotides in length. Their secondary structure includes four short double-helical elements and three loops (D, anti-codon, and T loops). Lineage: Eukaryota; Metazoa; Chordata; Mammalia; Rodentia; Sciuridae. The record is from RNAcentral.
GGGAUAUAGCUCAGUGGUAGAGUACAUGCUUAGUAUGCAUGAGGCCCUGAGUUUGAUCCCCAGAUCCCA